CCUACGGUAGACAGCAGUGAGGAAUAUUGGUCAAUGGGCGCGAGCCUGAACCAGCCAAGUAGCGUGAAGGAUGACUGCCCUACGGGUUGUAAACUUCUUUUAUAAAGGAAUAAAGUGAGGCACGUGUGCCUUUUUGUAUGUACUUUAUGAAUAAGGAUCGGCUAACUCCGUGCCAGCAGCCGCGGUAAUACGGAGGAUCCGCGCGUUAUCCGGAUUUCUCGUGUUUAAAGGGAGCGUAGAUGGGUUGUUAAGUCAGUUGUGAAAGUUUGCGGCGCAACCGUAAAAUUGCAAUUGAGACUGGCAGCUUUGAGUACAGUUGAGGUAGGCGGAAUUCGUGGUGUAGCGGUGAAAUGCUUAGAUAUCACGAAGAACUCCGAUUGCGAAGGCAGCCUACUAAACUGCCACUGACAUUGAUGCUCGAAAGUGUGGGUAUCAAACAGGAUUAGAUACCCCGGUAGUC
Molecule: ribosomal RNA, 460 nt
Filed under: uncultured bacterium
Lineage: Bacteria
Description: partial 16S ribosomal RNA
Rfam family: Bacterial small subunit ribosomal RNA
Source: RNAcentral